UGAAAAAAUGCACUCAAGCAUAAAAAAGCAGAGAUCAAAACUCGUACCUUUUGCAUCAUGAUCUAGCCAGUACCCCCAAGCAAAGAGAACUCUAGUUUGAUGCCCCGAAACCUCCGACGAGCUACCUCAAGGCCGCCUAAGACAGGGCAAACCCAUCUCUGUGGCAAAAGAGUGGGGAGACCUUCAGGUAGAGGUGAAAAGCCUACCGAGUCAGGUUAUAGCUGGUUGCUCAGAAAAUGAAUAACAGUUCAGCCCCAUAUUACGCCCCUUACCAACCAUAUUAUCCCACAGGCAACAGGGACACUCAUGGGAGUUAGUUAAAGGAGGUACAGCUCCCUUAACAAAGAAUACAACCUUAAUACAGGAGGCUAAGGAAUAUAUUUUACCAAAGGCUUCUAAAAGUUUUAGUGGGCCUAAAAGCAGCCAUCCAAACGAAAAGCGUUAAAGCUUAAACCAAACCAAGCCUAAUAUUUCAUUCAACCCUCCAAUGCCCCUGCAUACUACUAAGCCAUUUUAUGCUCACAUAAAAGAGACCAUGCUAGAACAAGUAAUAAGAAGAAUGAACUUCUCCCCGCACACGUGUAAAUCGAACCGGACAAACCACCGAUAAUUAACGAACCCAAAAACAGAGGGCCCCACACAAUCGCCACCCAAACCAAGAAAACCACGUCCCCCCACAAUCGUUACCCCUACACAGGAGUGCACACAUUUAAGGAAAGGCCAAAAGGAUGAAAAGGAACUCGGCAAACCUAAACCCCGCCUGUUUACCAAAAACAUCGCCUCUUGCUAUUAACCACAUAGGAGGUCCCGCCUGCCCCGUGACUUUACGUUUAACGGCCGCGGUAUUCUAACCGUGCAAAGGUAGCGCAAUCAAUUGUCUUUUAAAUGAAGACCUGUAUGAAUGGCAUAACGAGGGUUUAACUGUCUCUUUUACCCGACCAAUGAAACUGAUCUGCCCGUGCAGAAGCGGGCAUAAAAAUACAAGACGAGAAGACCCUGUGGAGCUUCAGACACUAACCAACCCACACAACAACGGUUUCAACCAACAAACCGAAAUAACUUUGGUCCUGACACAAAUGUCUUCGGUUGGGGCGACCACGGUGAGAAAACAAAGCUCCCGAGCGGAUUGUGUAAUCCCUCCUAAAACUUAGAGCUACACCUCUAAGUCUCAAAACAUUUGACCGACAAUGAUCCGACCACCCGUCGAUCAGCGAACAAAGUUACCCCAGGGAUAACAGCGCAAUCCUCUCACAGAGCCCAUAUCGACGAGAGGGUUUACGACCUCGAUGUUGGAUCAGGACAUCCCAAUGGUGCAGCCGCUAUUAA
This 1326-nucleotide ribosomal RNA is filed under the name Ilisha elongata (elongate ilisha). Its description in RNAcentral is "partial 16S ribosomal RNA". It matches the Rfam family "Bacterial large subunit ribosomal RNA", at positions 539 to 2568 of the family's 2925-position model. Lineage: Eukaryota; Metazoa; Chordata; Actinopteri; Clupeiformes; Pristigasteridae. The record is from RNAcentral.